Molecule: ribosomal RNA, 497 nt
Filed under: uncultured bacterium
Lineage: Bacteria
Description: partial 16S ribosomal RNA
Rfam family: Bacterial small subunit ribosomal RNA
Source: RNAcentral
GAUGAACGCUGGCGGCGUGCCUAAUACAUGCAAGUCGAGCGAACAGACGAGGAGCUUGCUCCUCUGACGUUAGCGGCAGACGGGUGAGUAACACGUGGAUAACCUACCUAUAAUACUGGGAUAACUGCGGGAAACCGGAUCUAAUACCGGAUAAUAUAGGUAACCGCAUGGUUCAAGAGUGAAAUACGGGUUUGCUGUCACUUAUAGAUGGAUCCGCGCCGCGUUAGAUAGUUGGUAUGGUAACGCGUUACCAAGUCAACGAUGCGUAGCCGACCUGAGAGAGUGGUAGGCCACAUUGGAAGUGAGACAGGCUCCAGAGUAUUGCGAGAGGGCGCAGUAGGGUAUCUUACGCAGCGGUGGGAAGCCUGGCGGAGCGACGCCGAGCGUGAGAUGGAGGUGUUGGGAUCGUGAUGCCCUGCUACUAGGGAAGAACAAAUGUGUAAGUAAACAAGCACGUCUUGACGGUAGCUAAUGAGAAAGCCACGGCUAACUACGUG